Molecule: ribosomal RNA, 254 nt
Filed under: uncultured bacterium
Lineage: Bacteria
Description: partial 16S ribosomal RNA
Rfam family: Bacterial small subunit ribosomal RNA
Source: RNAcentral
UACGUAGGGGGCGAGCGUUGUCCGGAAUCAUUGGGCGUAAAGAGCUCGUAGGCGGUUCAGCAAGUCGGCUGUGAAAUUCCGAGGCUCAACCUCGGAACUGCAGUCGAUACUGCUGUGACUCGAGUCCGGUAGAGGAGAAUGGAAUUCCCGGUGUAGCAGUGAAAUGCGUAGAUAUCGGGAGGAACAUCCGUGGCGAAGGCGGCCACCUGGACCAACAUUGACGCUGAGGCACGAAAGCGUGGGGAGCAAACAGG